CCAGCACCCACAGGAGGCAGUGGAAGAGCUCCCACUGAUGACAGUGGAUGUUGGAUGAAUUCCCACCUCAUCCUCGUGUUUGAAUGAUGAAAAUUGAGUUGCUGGGUUCUGCACAAACUCCAUGUAAAGAGCUGUCAUGCAAUCACCACCUGAUGACAAGGUCUGAGCUGCUAAAAAAUCCCCAAGAAAUAAUAAAUUAAGGACUUGUAAAAGGAUAAUGAGAGCCUGGAGAAUUUUAAUUAAGAAAGCCCCUUGAGAGACAAUGAAAUAAUUCCAGGGGUAAAUUUUCCUCCAUUUUUGGUGCAAAGACAAACUUUUGAAGAUUUGGGGAAACACUUCAGUGAAGGAUCUUUUCAUUACUCAUCCCCUUCUCUGGGAAGAGUCUGCAUAUAUUUCCAGGUACCAUUUCUGGGAGAGGUCUCCCAGGUUUGAAAAGCUGAAAGGAAAAAACUGAAAGGAAAACUGAAGGGAAUUCUUCCCUCUGUCCCUGUUGGAACACUGGCUGCUGAGAGUUUGGGACUUUCUGUGCUGCCAGGCACUGACCCCCAGGAGAACACUGCACUGACCUGAGGCCGUGGAGAAGCUCCCAAAAUUCAACAAUAAAACUGAGAUUACAGGUGUGGAGUUGGAAUGGAAGUGUGUGAUAUCACAGGGUGGGAAACUCAGAGUUGAAGGGUUUAGAAUGCAGGAAUAGAUAUAAAGCAAGAUGGAGGUUUUAGGGUGGAGGCUGCUCCUUCUCCUUCACCUCCUUCUCCAUGGGGUUGGGUGGUUUUGUGCAAUUGGAUAAAAAAGUCCCCAUUGUGGGCACGGGUGGUUGGGUAUUGGGUUAAAAGUGAAAAUAAUUGAGGUGUCAUUUCUUAAUUGGACAGUUUAUCCUUAAAAGGCCUUGGGGAGAGAGAGAUGGGCUCCAUUUUGAGUUUGUUGGAGUGAAAUGCUGCAGAACUCAGGGUUUGUGAGGCUGUGACAGAGACAAGAACUGAAAAACACCUGAGUCCCAACAAGAAAUUCCCUCUCACACAUUUAAUCCUGAUCUUGGCAAAAAAAGAAGAUAAAGCUCUGCAUGUCCCAGCAGUUUUGGUGGCAGCAGAGUGUGGGAUG
This 1098-nucleotide long non-coding RNA is filed under the name Taeniopygia guttata (zebra finch). Its description in RNAcentral is "lncRNA (ENSTGUG00000025717.1)". Lineage: Eukaryota; Metazoa; Chordata; Aves; Passeriformes; Estrildidae. The record is from RNAcentral.